CCUACGGGAUGCAGCAGUGAGGAAUAUUGGUCAAUGGACGAGAGUCUGAACCAGCCAAGUAGCGUGAAGGAUGACUGCCCUAUUGGUUGUAAACUUCUUUUAUAAAGGAAUAAAACGAGGCCCAUGUGCCUUUUUGCAUGUACUUUAUGAAUAAUGAUCGGCUAACUCCUUGCCAGCAGCCGCGGUAAUACGGAGGAUCCGAGCUUUAUCCUGAUUUAUUGGGUUUAAAGGGAGCGUAGAUGGGUUGUUAAGUCCGUUGUGAAAGUUUGAGGCUCAAACGUAAAAUUGCAAUUGAUACUGGCAGUAUUGAGUACAGUUGAGGUAAGCGGAAUUCGUGGUGUAGCGGUGAAAUGCUUAGAUAUCACGAAGAACCCCGAUUGCGAAGGCAGCUUACUAAACUGUGACUGACAUUGAUGCUCGAAAGUGUGGGUAUCAAACAGGAGUAGAUACCCUAGUAGUC
Molecule: ribosomal RNA, 460 nt
Filed under: uncultured bacterium
Lineage: Bacteria
Description: partial 16S ribosomal RNA
Rfam family: Bacterial small subunit ribosomal RNA
Source: RNAcentral